This 143-nucleotide non-coding RNA is filed under the name Otolemur garnettii (small-eared galago). The record is from Rfam by way of RNAcentral. Lineage: Eukaryota; Metazoa; Chordata; Mammalia; Primates; Galagidae.
GCCGGGCGCUGUGGCGGGCGCCUGUGGUCCCAGCUACUUGGGAGGCGGAGGCAGAAGACUCGCUUGAGCCCAGGAGUUGGAGGUUGCUGUGAGCUAUAAUGCCACGGCACUCUACCCAGGGCGACAAAGUGAGACUCCGCCAA